AUAGCGUAUAUUAAAGUUGUUGCAGUUAAAAAGCUCGUAGUUGAAUUUCGGGAUCAAAGGAUCGGUCAUGCCUUGGUAUGUACUGGUUUUAUUGGUUCUCACCUUCUAAAGAACCAUAAUGUCAUUCAUUUGAUGUUAUGGGGAAUUAGGACUGUUACCUUGAAAAAAUUAGAGUGUUUAAAGCAGGCUUACGCUUGAAUACAUUAGCAUGGAAUAAUGAAAUAGGACAUCAGAUUCUAUUUUGUUGGUUUCUAGGAUCGAUGUAAUGAUUAAUAGGGAUAGUUGGGGGCAUUAGUAUUCAAUUGUCAGAGGUGAAAUUCUUGGAUUUAUUGAAGACUAACUACUG
RNAcentral lists this ribosomal RNA (346 nucleotides) under uncultured eukaryote. RNAcentral's name for it is "SSU rRNA". It matches the Rfam family "Eukaryotic small subunit ribosomal RNA", at positions 594 to 945 of the family's 1831-position model. The record is from RNAcentral.